Molecule: ribosomal RNA, 723 nt
Filed under: uncultured Pseudomonadales bacterium
Lineage: Bacteria; Pseudomonadati; Pseudomonadota; Gammaproteobacteria; Pseudomonadales
Description: bacterial SSU rRNA
Rfam family: Bacterial small subunit ribosomal RNA
Source: RNAcentral
UCGAGCGGAUGAGAAGAGCUUGCUCUUCGAUUCAGCGGCGGACGGGUGAGUAAUGCCUAGGAAUCUGCCUGGUAGUGGGGGACAACGUCUCGAAAGGAACGCUAAUACCGCAUACGUCCUACGGGAGAAAGCAGGGGACCUUCGGGCCUUGCGCUAUCAGAUGAGCCUAGGUCGGAUUAGCUAGUUGGUGAGGUAAUGGCUCACCAAGGCGACGAUCCGUAACUGGUCUGAGAGGAUGAUCAGUCACACUGGAACUGAGACACGGUCCAGACUCCUACGGGAGGCAGCAGUGGGGAAUAUUGGACAAUGGGCGAAAGCCUGAUCCAGCCAUGCCGCGUGUGUGAAGAAGGUCUUCGGAUUGUAAAGCACUUUAAGUUGGGAGGAAGGGCAUUAACCUAAUACGUUAGUGUUUUGACGUUACCGACAGAAUAAGCACCGGCUAACUCUGUGCCAGCAGCCGCGGUAAUACAGAGGGUGCAAGCGUUAAUCGGAAUUACUGGGCGUAAAGCGCGCGUAGGUGGUUUGUUAAGUUGGAUGUGAAAGCCCCGGGCUCAACCUGGGAACUGCAUCCAAAACUGGCAAGCUAGAGUACGGUAGAGGGUGGUGGAAUUUCCUGUGUAGCGGUGAAAUGCGUAGAUAUAGGAAGGAACACCAGUGGCGAAGGCGACCACCUGGACUGAUACUGACACUGAGGUGCGAAAGCGUGGGGAGCAAACAGGAUUA